Molecule: transfer RNA, 58 nt
Filed under: Ipomoea nil (Japanese morning glory)
Lineage: Eukaryota; Viridiplantae; Streptophyta; Magnoliopsida; Solanales; Convolvulaceae
Rfam family: tRNA
About the family: Transfer RNA (tRNA) molecules are approximately 80 nucleotides in length. Their secondary structure includes four short double-helical elements and three loops (D, anti-codon, and T loops).
Source: Rfam by way of RNAcentral
AACGGUUUGGCAUAGUGGUCUAAGGCGCCGGGCGUGGGUUCAAAUCCCACAGUCGUCA